This 454-nucleotide ribosomal RNA is filed under the name uncultured bacterium. RNAcentral describes it as "bacterial SSU rRNA". It matches the Rfam family "Bacterial small subunit ribosomal RNA", at positions 340 to 786 of the family's 1533-position model. The record is from RNAcentral.
UACGGAAGGCAGCAGUGGGGAAUAUUGCACAAUGGGCGCAAGCCUGAUGCAGCCAUGCCGCGUGUAUGAAGAAGGCCUUCGGGUUGUAAAGUACUUUCAGUCGUGAAGGAAGGUGUUAAGGUUAAUAACCUUAGCAAUUGACGUUAGCGACAGAAGAAGCACCGGCUAACUCCGUGCCAGCAGCCGCGGUAAUACGGAGGGUGCGAGCGUUAAUCGGAAUUACUGGGCGUAAAGGGCACGCAGGCGGUUAAUUAAGUUGGAUGUGAAAUCCCCGGGCUUAACCUGGGAAUGGCAUUCAAGACUGGUUAGCUAGAGUCUUGUAGAGGGGGUAGAAUUCCAUGUGUAGCGGUGAAAUGCGUAGAGAUGUGGAGGAAUACCGGUGGCGAAGGCGGCCCCUGGACAAAGACUGACGCUCAUGUGCGAAAGCGUGGGGAGCAAACAGGGAUUAGAUACC